UGUAGAGAUACUGAGGUGAGGGUACGGAUGGUUGUUAGAGAAUAACUUACACUGAACAUGACCAACACGAGAACCACAUGGAUAUCUACUCAUUCAUCAAUGGUCUUCUCGAUGCUGUAGUACUGUGAGUGGUCUUUUGACCUACAAUAUCAUUGGCUAUUCGUAGUGAGGCUACUGAGUUUGACUGCACGUUUCCUUGAUCUCUAGCCAUUCGGAUCCUUGCUGUGUAUGUUGACUUCCGUAGGUUUACGUUCGCUGUUUGGAGGAUGCACCUAGAU
Molecule: long non-coding RNA, 278 nt
Filed under: Elaeis guineensis (African oil palm)
Lineage: Eukaryota; Viridiplantae; Streptophyta; Magnoliopsida; Arecales; Arecaceae
Description: long non-coding RNA (EGUI_LNC020093)
Source: RNAcentral